AGAUGAACUAUGUGCGACAAACAUGACUCGGGAGGAUCACAAAUAUAGAACAGUUUCAUAUGGUGCAGAUGAUUGGUCAAGUCUGAUUUUCGAUCAGAAAGUGCAUCUUUCUCCUCGAUUCGCUGUGUUUGCCGCUCCGGCGAUGCAAGACUUCCUCGGCUCAGUCCGUCGAUCGCUGGUCUUCAAGCCGUCCGGCGAAGAAUCGGCGGGAUUUGGAGGAUUUGUGGAAAAGAUCGGGUCUAGUAUCCGGAGAUCGCGAAUCGGGAUAUUUGAGAGGCCUCCGGUCCAUGCUUUGCCUCCAAUUGCGACGCCGCCGCGAGGAGUGGUGAAGGCAGUGCCGCCGGUGGAGGAGGAGUCGCCUCUGCCGCCGAUGGAAGUGUCGGUGGAAGAUGAUCUGGUGGUAGUUAGGGAUUUAGAUGAAGCAGUGACGACUCCAAAGACGGUGAAAGAUGAACAAUUAAAGAAGAAGGAGGCCGCCUUGCCGGCUCCGAUCCGGUGGAGGAAAGGGGAAUUGAUUGGGUGCGGUGCGUUUGGUAGGGUUCACAUGGGGAUGAAUUUGGAUUCCGGCGAGUUGCUCGCUGUUAAAGAGGUUUCGAUUGCGGUGAACAGCACUUCGAAGAAGACACAGGAAUAUAUAAUGGAGCUCGAAAAAGAAGUGAAUCUAUUGAAAAAUCUCUCCCAUCCAAACAUUGUGAGAUACUUAGGAACUGCAAGAGAAAAUGAUUCACUCAAUAUAUUACUGGAAUUUGUGCCAGGUGGAUCCAUUUCAUCACUCUUAGGAAAGUUUGGGUCUUUCCCUGAAUCCGUUAUCAAGAUGUACACAAAGCAAUUGUUGUUAGGGCUGGAGUAUCUGCACAAGAAUAAAAUCAUGCACAGGGACAUCAAGGGUGCAAAUAUUCUUGUUGACAAUAAGGGUUGCAUUAAACUUGCUGAUUUUGGAGCAUCCAAGAAAGUUGAAGCAUUGGCCACCAUAAAUGGUGCAAAAUCUAUGAAGGGUACUCCAUAUUGGAUGGCGCCUGAAGUUAUUGUUCAAAGUGGUCACAGCUUUUCGGCAGAUAUAUGGAGUGUUGGAUGCACAGUUAUUGAAAUGGCUACUGGAAAAGCUCCUUGGAGCCAGCAGUAUCAAGAGGUUGCUGCUCUUUUUUAUGUUGGUACAACAAAAUCCCAUCCACCAAUACCGGAUCAUCUUUCUGAUAAGGCGAAGGAUUUCCUGUUGAAAUGCUUACAAAAGGAGCCGGAUCUGAGGCCUACUGCGUCGGAUUUGCUGAAGCAUCCAUUUGUAACUCAAGAAACUCGGGAAUCACAUCGCCUUCUUCGAUCUUCACUUUUGCAGGACAGCUCUGGGAAACGAUCGUCUGUUCUUGGGGUUGAAACUAAGAAGUCCUUCUCAACCACUAGUCCAGAGCAGUUCUCAGCACAAGGAUCCCUGUGGGCACCCGUUAACUUUGAUGAUGAUGAUGAUAUGUGUAGAAUCGAUGACAAUGACGAUCUUGUUACUGGUGCAUCUAUGAAAUUCAGCCAUCAUCUUCUUUCCAGGGAUUGUAAUCAGAGCUAUAAUCCUAUGUCCGAGCCAAAUGAUGAUUGGGCUUGCAAGUUUGAUGGAAGUCCCGAGAUGAUUAAAAGUGGGAUUAUGCAUGGAGACAGAUCAUUAGGAUCUGGUGAGGUAAAUUGUGGUUUCACAUUUCCAGUAGGACAAUCAGGAUCUGAAGAUGACGAUGAAGAAACAGAGUCAAAGAUUAGAGCAUUCCUGGACGAAAAGGCUUUGGAAUUAAAGAGGCUGCAAACACCUCUCUAUGAAUUCUACAAUUCCUUGAAUGUUGCCAGUCCUCCAAGCCCGGUCGGCAUUGGCAACAAGGAGAAUAUCUCAAGCAAUUGCAACUUGCCUCCCAAAAGCAGUCGAUCUCCCAACAGGUUGGGGAGUAGAAGACUUUCCACAGCCCCUGAUAUUGAGUACGCUUCAAGUCCGGGGAGAUGUUCCAGGCGUGUAUCAAAUAUUGGUGACGUGAACUGUCAAGCUUCUCAAGACGUUCGGGAGCUGCUUAUUGAUUCUCAUAUCGAGCCCCUUACUCCAAGCUCUAGGCUGAGCGAGUCCGAGAAAAAGAAAUGGAAAGAAGAACUUGAUGAAGAGUUGGAAAGGACUAGAGAGCUCAUUCGACAAGCAGGCGGGGCAAAAACAUCUUCACCCAAAGAUCGGAUUCUGAAUAGAAAAAGAGAUCGAUUAAGGUUUGCAUCUCCUGGGAAAUAAAUUUUUUGGCAACGACAAAAUUGAGCAGUCAAGAAGAUAUAUCUGAUCUUCAAGACAAUAUGGAUUUCUAUUAAAUCGAACAUCUGAAUAAUCGUUGCGACGCAUACUUUCCCUGAUCCAUUGUAAUGCAGUGCUUCUGCAAAAUCUCUGAGUUUCUCUCUCAAAUCCAACAAAUUCAGACCAAUCCCUUUCUCUUGUCCUUGUCUUAAAAUUAUGAGAAAGAACUUUUCUCUCUCUGCCUUAAGCAACAAGUGAUGCAUGUCUUUCUUGCCCCAUUUUCAAUAUAUUUACAGAUAUAUAUAUAUAUAUAUUAUACAUGUGUGUGUGUAUGAUUGCAUCAAUUGGAUAAGCUUCACCAUUCUAGUGGACAUUAAUGGAACAAUU
This is an RNA transcript of Andrographis paniculata, 2629 nucleotides long. It is a transcript of the gene named mitogen-activated protein kinase kinase kinase NPK1-like, with no coding region annotated. NCBI's taxonomy places the organism in Eukaryota, Viridiplantae, Streptophyta, Magnoliopsida, Lamiales, Acanthaceae. The record is from RefSeq and is a predicted model, not a curated record. The transcript is spliced from 20 exons.